CCUACGGGAGGCUGCAGUGGGGAAUAUUGGACAAUGGGGGCAACCCUGAUCCAGCCAUGCCGCGUGUGUGAAGAAGGCCCUCGGGUUGUAAAGCACUUUCAGUGAGGAAGAACGCCUGGUGGUUAAUACCCAUCAGGAAAGACAUCACUCACAGAAGAAGCACCGGCUAACUCCGUGCCAGCAGCCGCGGUAAUACGGAGGGUGCGAGCGUUAAUCGGAAUUACUGGGCGUAAAGCGCGCGUAGGUGGCUGGAUAAGCCGGUUGUGAAAGCCCCGGGCUCAACCUGGGAACGGCAUCCGGAACUGUCAAGCUAGAGUGCAGGAGAGGAAGGUAGAAUUCCCGGUGUAGCGGUGAAAUGCGUAGAGAUCGGGAGGAAUACCAGUGGCGAAGGCGGCCUUCUGGACUGACACUGACACUGAGGUGCGAAAGCGUGGGUAGCAAACAGGAUUAGAUACCCCAGUAGUC
Molecule: ribosomal RNA, 465 nt
Filed under: Vreelandella stevensii
Lineage: Bacteria; Pseudomonadati; Pseudomonadota; Gammaproteobacteria; Oceanospirillales; Halomonadaceae
Description: partial 16S ribosomal RNA
Rfam family: Bacterial small subunit ribosomal RNA
Source: RNAcentral